AUGAACGCUAGCGGCAGGCCUAAUACAUGCAAGUCGAACGGUAACAGUUCUUUCGGGAAGCUGACGAGUGGCGCACGGGUGCGUAACGCGUAUGCAACUACCAUUACAGGGGAUAGCCCGGGAAACUCGGAUUAAUACCCCAUAGUAUUACAGAUUGGCAUCAUGAAGUAAUUAAAGAUUUAUUGGUAAUGGAUGGGCAUGCGUCUGAUUAGUUAGUUGGAGAGGUAACGGCUCACCAAGACGAUGAUCAGUAGGGGUUCUGAGAGGAUGAUCCCCCACACUGGUACUGAGAUACGGACCAGACUCCUACGGGAGGCAGCAGUAGGGAAUAUUGGUCAAUGGGCGAGAGCCUGAACCAGCCAUGCCGCGUGCAGGAUGACGGCCUUCUGGGUUGUAAACUGCUUUUAUAUAGGAAGAAAUAGUUCAUGCGUGAACAGUUGACGGUACUAUAUGAAUAAGCACCGGCUAACUCCGUG
This 476-nucleotide ribosomal RNA is filed under the name uncultured bacterium. Its description in RNAcentral is "bacterial SSU rRNA". It matches the Rfam family "Bacterial small subunit ribosomal RNA", at positions 29 to 507 of the family's 1533-position model. The record is from RNAcentral.